Molecule: ribosomal RNA, 301 nt
Filed under: uncultured bacterium
Lineage: Bacteria
Description: partial 16S ribosomal RNA
Rfam family: Bacterial small subunit ribosomal RNA
Source: RNAcentral
CAGUAGCCACGGUAAUACGAAGGGGGCUAGCGUUGUUCGGAUUUACUGGGCGUAAAGGGCGCGUAGGCGGAUUUGUAAGUCAGGGGUGAAAUCCCGAGGCUCAACCUCGGAACUGCCUUUGAUACUGUGGAUCUUGAGUCCGGGAGAGGUGAGUGGAACUGCGAGUGUAGAGGUGAAAUUCGUAGAUAUUCGCAAGAACACCAGUGGCGAAGGCGGCUCACUGGCCAGGAACUGACGCUGAGGCGCGAAAGCGUGGGGAGCAAACAGGAUUAGAUACCCCCGUAGUCCCUGUCUCUUAUAC